UACGUAGGGUGCGAGCGUUACUCGGAAUUACUGGGCGUAAAGCGUGCGCAGGCGGCUUUGCAAGACAGAUGUGAAAUCCCCGGGCUCAACCUGGGAUCUGCAUUUGUGACUGCAAGGCUAGAGUACGGCAGAGGGGGAUGGAAUUCCGCGUGUAGCAGUGAAAUGCGUAGAUAUGCGGAGGAACACCAAUGGCGAAGGCAAUCCCCUGGGCCUGUACUGACGCUCAUGCACGAAAGCGUGGGGAGCAAACAGG
Molecule: ribosomal RNA, 253 nt
Filed under: uncultured bacterium
Lineage: Bacteria
Description: partial 16S ribosomal RNA
Rfam family: Bacterial small subunit ribosomal RNA
Source: RNAcentral